UUUUUUUUCACUCACCACUCAUUUGUUUGAUAUUCAAGAAAAGGCUCAUAUUGCACUUGGAUGUGAAAUAGAACUGAGCAAAGAGAUGUCAGGAGAAAACAGAUGCUGUAGAAAAAUACGGAGAAAAGGCCCCACCUUUCAAACAUCAUUCUUUGCACUCAAAGUGAUAUCAAUGGAAAGUCUCAGAAAGCAAUAGCCCAGAACUUUCACAAGUUCCCAGAUAAUCACUUGGCUGUUGUGCAAGCUAGAGCCAGGAGAGAUUCCACAGCUGCAGAACCCCACUGAUAUUUAGUGGCAAGCAAAGAACUGCAUUUUUUUCCCAGAGCUCAGCUGUUUGAAAUACACUGAAUGCAAAAUCAUGGAUGAUUCAAGACAAGACUAUGGGAGAGUGAAGUUCUUCUGCAAGAUUACAUCCAUUGCUAUAUUAAGUGGCACAAAAUCUCCUAGUCAUUCUAGCCUUUGAAAAUGAGGAUCUAAACUGAGUGAUUGUGCUCAUAUUCUUUAUUUGACUGGGUGGCUGCCACUCAGAAUCUAUCUUCAUUGAUACCAAAUGACUGUGACGGUAAGAAAUGAGGGGGGGGGGGAAAGAGCAUACAAAA
Mauremys reevesii (Reeves's turtle) is the source of this 599-nucleotide long non-coding RNA. RefSeq lists it as uncharacterized. The transcript is spliced from 4 exons. Lineage: Eukaryota; Metazoa; Chordata; Testudines; Geoemydidae. The record is from RefSeq and is a predicted model, not a curated record.